UAGGAGAUAGUAUAGUGGAAGUACAGAGGAUUUUGGAGCCUCAAGUGCCAGUUCAAAUCUGGUUUUUCUA
RNAcentral lists this transfer RNA (70 nucleotides) under Acanthodactylus schmidti. RNAcentral's name for it is "tRNA-Gln". It matches the Rfam family "tRNA". From Rfam's summary of the family: Transfer RNA (tRNA) molecules are approximately 80 nucleotides in length. Their secondary structure includes four short double-helical elements and three loops (D, anti-codon, and T loops). Lineage: Eukaryota; Metazoa; Chordata; Lepidosauria; Squamata; Lacertidae. The record is from RNAcentral.